CGCACUUUCCUCAUCGUCAUGGUUGCGUGUGCAGAAAUUUGUGCGCCGUAGCUUAGGAUCCCUUUUAAGGUAUGAUGCGGCUAUUAUGGUGGCGCGAUUCGACCCGUCUUGAAAACCCGGACCAAGGAGUCUAGCGUAUUUGCGAGUCAAAGGGUGUAAAAACCUGAGGGCGCAGUGAAAGCGAAUUGAUUAUCUAUAAAAUGGUGCAAUUUGAGGCGGCAUACGAUCGUUGAUUGUAAGUCCGACCUAGAGCAGAUAUGCUAGGACCCGAAAGAUGGUGAACUAUGCUUGAAUAGGGCGAAGCCAGAGGAAACUCUGGUGGAGGCUCGUAGCGGUGCUGACGUGCAAAUCGCUCGUCAAAUUUGAGUAUAGGGGCGAAAGACUAAUCGAACCAUCUAGUAGCUGGUUUCCUCCGAAGUUUCUCUCAGGAUAGCAGGCCCAAAUUGUAUGAUUGUUGUGUGUGGUAAAGCGAAUGAUUAGCAUACUCGGGGGCGUUAAGCCUUCGGAUGAUUCUCAAACUUUAAAUGCGCACGGAUGUUGCCGCUUGGGUGGGCGGCAUCUCUAAAAACUUGGGCUUUGUGGGCCAUUUUUGGUAAGCAGAACUGGCGAUACGGGAUGAACCGUAAGUGUGGUUAAGGCGUCAAAUUGUCCGCUUAAAGAUUCCAAAAAAGGUGUUGAUUCAUCGAGACAGCAGGACGGUGGCCAUGGAAGUCGGAAUCCGCUAAGGAGUGUGUAACAACUCACCUGCCGAAUGAAUUAGCCCUGAAAAUGGAUGACGCUAAAGCGGGCAGCCGACACCACACCGUUUGAGCAAAGAAAAAUAAAUUUAUAUGCUUAAAUGAGUAGGAGGAACGUGGUGGUCGUGUUGAAGCGUGCGUGCAAACGUGCGUGGAACGGCCACUAGUGCAGAUCUUGGUGUUAGUAGCAAAUAUUCAAACGAGAACCUUGA
Molecule: ribosomal RNA, 949 nt
Filed under: Branchioglossum woodii
Lineage: Eukaryota; Rhodophyta; Florideophyceae; Ceramiales; Delesseriaceae
Description: LSU rRNA
Rfam family: Eukaryotic large subunit ribosomal RNA
Source: RNAcentral